Molecule: ribosomal RNA, 305 nt
Filed under: uncultured bacterium
Lineage: Bacteria
Description: partial 16S ribosomal RNA
Rfam family: Bacterial small subunit ribosomal RNA
Source: RNAcentral
ACAGCAGCCGCCGCGGUAAUACAGAGGGUGCAAGCGUUAAUCGGAAUUACUGGGCGUAAAGCGCGCGUAGGUGGUUCGCCAAGUUGGAUGUGAAAUCCCCGGGCUCAACCCCGGAACUGCCUUUGAUACUGGAAGUCUUGAGUAUGGUAGAGGUGAGUGGAAUUCCGAGUGUAGAGGUGAAAUUCGUAGAUAUUCGGAGGAACACCAGUGGCGAAGGCGGCUCACUGGACCAUUACUGACGCUGAGGUGCGAAAGCGUGGGGAGCAAACAGGAUUAGAUACCCGCGUAGUCCCUGUCUCUUAUAA